GCCAAUUAAGGACAAGCAAGGGAUAUGCCUGGGGAACAGUCGAAACGUGCUAGCGGGAUACCGUACGGCCAUACAGGUCAAGGGCAAAGCUAAAACAGAACAAUACAAUUAAAGCCUUCUCAAAUCAGGUAUCCGUAGGGUGUGAGGCUCUCCUUGGCACGGAAAGCCAGAUAGAUAGCAUUGGGAAUUGACAAUCUCCGGAGGAAGGAAAAAGUUUGAGGUCUUACAUCCGUCUUGCCUGUCUGUUUUGAUUCUCAUAUAAAAGCUGUCAGUGCGUGACACUAGCAGAUUUUUUACCGCUUUAUGUUAUAUCGAAAUACAGCAAAGGAAUGUUCCAGCUAGAUAGAAAUAGAGAACUUACAGUAAAGGCCACGCGUAUGUUUUAAGAAAGCUAUAGGCCUAAAGAAAUGUAAUUCCCAGGCGUAGUGCUUUGACAUCAAGAGCGAGUAGAAAAAGAAGCAAACGUGAAAAUAAAACCGUAACGCUUCUAGUGCCGCCCUGAUGGGCUAAGGUCGGUCCAGCAAUGAGCUUUCGUGCAAGAAGACUAACUAUCCAUGGAUAAAAUCUGACACUUAAUUGACUAUAUUUGAUUGAAAGCAUCUUGGUUACUCGUUUGAAUUAUUGAAAUGGAUGCUUUGUGUGACUCAGGGACAGGAGUGUUCAAUGACGGGGUGUUAGACGCCCACCUGCCGAUGCUAUUGUUACAGGUCUGUUGACAGCGAUUCAGACUGUUAUCACUGCAUUCGUCCACGUCUACACACUGAUGCUUGCCCUUCAGGCGGUAACCUUGAUGACAAGAGCAUGAAAAUGAGCCCACGGUGUUUGUGCACAGAUGUUCGCAGUCACCCUUCCCAUGGUUCCUUGCGCACUCGUCUAUAUCGACACACUGCUCGGUUCUAGAUGAAACAGUGGAAAGCAUGGAAAACAAUCAGCGAACUACUCAUAAAGGUGCUCGCACACAAGGGGACAUUUUUCAAAUACAUGACUCCGGAACAUGUAGCCGUUUUUAAAAAAAAAUCACGUUCCAUACAUAAAACGCGUCAUAGAGCGGGACAUAAAGCGCGGACAAAAUCACAACAUGUACACACAGAAUAAACUGCGCCAUACGCGUGUUCCUGGGACACCUAUCCAUUUUACUCACACACUAAGAAGCCUUUUAUAGGCUCAUAGGAACAUGCUUACGGCGCAGUAUAUUCUGUGUGUACAUGUUGUGAUUUUGUCCGCGCUUUAUUAUAAAAUAUAUAUCAUGAAAUAUAUCUAUUUAAGAGAAAGGGGAAAUUUUAAGCUUCAAUAAAUGUUCAUUUCUGCGAA
Nematostella vectensis (starlet sea anemone) is the source of this 1311-nucleotide long non-coding RNA. RefSeq lists it as uncharacterized. The record is from RefSeq and is a predicted model, not a curated record. The transcript is spliced from 2 exons. NCBI's taxonomy places the organism in Eukaryota, Metazoa, Cnidaria, Anthozoa, Actiniaria, Edwardsiidae.